This 637-nucleotide ribosomal RNA is filed under the name uncultured bacterium. RNAcentral's name for it is "bacterial SSU rRNA". It matches the Rfam family "Bacterial small subunit ribosomal RNA", at positions 194 to 848 of the family's 1533-position model. The record is from RNAcentral.
CUGAGGGUCAAAGGCGCAAGUCGCCUGUGGAGGAGCCUGCGUUCGAUUAGCUUGUUGGUGGGGUAAAGGCCUACCAAGGCGAUGAUCGAUAGCUGGUCUGAGAGGAUGAUCAGCCACACUGGGACUGAGACACGGCCCAGACUCCUACGGGAGGCAGCAGUGGGGAAUAUUGGACRAUGGGCGAAAGCCUGAUCCAGCAAYGCCGCGUGUGUGAAGAAGGUCUUCGGAUUGUAAAGCACUUUCGACGGGGACGAUGAUGACGGUACCCGUAGAAGAAGCCCCGGCUAACUUCGUGCCAGCAGCCGCGGUAAUACGAAGGGGGCUAGCGUUGCUCGGAAUGACUGGGCGUAAAGGGCGCGUAGSCGGUUUACACAGUCAGAUGUGAAAUUCCAGGGCUUAACCUUGGGGCUGCAUUUGAUACGUGUAGRCUAGAGUGUGAGAGAGGGUUGUGGAAUUCCCAGUGUAGAGGUGAAAUUCGUAGAUAUUGGGAAGAACACCGGUGGCGAAGGCGGCAMCCUGGCUCAUUACUGACGCUGAGGCGCGAAAGCGUGGGGAGCAAMCAGGAUUAGAUACCCUGRUAGUCCACGCUGUAAACGAUGUGUGCUGGAUGUUGGGUAACUUAGUUACUCGAGUGUCG